AUUAGCCAUGAACAAACCUGACCUUUUAUUCCAUCGUGUGUGUAACGUGGUGUGACAUGGUUCCCUUUAGGCUGAAGACAGUGGGAGCAGCCGAGUUCAGUCCUUGCUCUCCAACUAGGCAAGGUUCUCUCAACUAAACCAAGGGUCCCCUUCCCCUGAGCCCAUCUACAAUAGCGAGGGGAAGCGGCUUAACACCCGAGAGUUCCGCACCCGCAAAAAGCUGGAAGAGGAGCGGCACAACCUCAUCACAGAGAUGGUUGCACUCAAUCCGGAUUUCAAGCCACCUGCAGAUUACAAACCUCCAGCAACACGUGUGAGUGAUAAAGUCAUGAUUCCACAAGAUGAAUACCCAGAAAUCAACUUUGUGGGGCUGCUCAUCGGGCCCAGAGGGAACACCCUGAAGAACAUAGAGAAGGAGUGCAAUGCCAAGAUUAUGAUCCGGGGGAAAGGGUCUG
RNAcentral lists this small RNA (455 nucleotides) under Pan troglodytes (chimpanzee). Its description in RNAcentral is "processed transcript". The record is from RNAcentral. Lineage: Eukaryota; Metazoa; Chordata; Mammalia; Primates; Hominidae.